GGACCCCGCUUUAGAAACCCCGCUUUAGGGCCCCUGUUUUAGAGACCCCGCUCUAGGGACCCCACUCUAGGGACCCCGCUUUAGGGACCCCGCUUCAGGGCCCCCGCUAUAGAAACCCUGAUUUAGGGCCCCCGCUUUAGAGACCCCGCUUUAGUGACCCCGCUUUAUAGACCCCGCUUUAGGGCCCCCGCUUUAGAAACCCCGCUUUAGGGCCCCCACUUUAGGGCCCCCGCUUUAGAGACCCCGCUUUAGGGCCCCCUCUUUAGGGCCCCCUCUUUAGAAAACCCCGAUUUAGGGCUUCCGCUUUAGAGACCCCGCUUUAGGGACCCCGCUUUAGAGACCCCGCUUUAGGGACCUCGCUUUAGAAACCCCGAUUUAGGGCCCCCGCUUUAGGAACCCCGCUUUAGGGAACCCGAUUUAGAGACCCUGCUUGAGAGACCCCGCUUUAGGGCACGCUUACUCUGAUUAUCAGGCUGCUGCUGCUACCAGAGCUGUAAACGGCCAAAUGUCUGACCUCAAAGCUUUAAAAGGGCACUCCACAAUCCGAUUAGGUGCCAUUUCAUUUUUAAUUUUAAUGAUUUUAUUUCAUUUUGUUUCGUAGCUAUGGUAUAGGUGUUAUUAUGGACUUUAUUGUAUCCAUCUGAUCACCGUUUUUUUUACACUGGACUGGCCAACCACAGCACAGGCUGGCUUCCAUCUUAAACAGCUGACAUCCUUUUUUCGGUGCUUUGAGCAAAGCAGAAUCGUGACAAGUCACAUGAGUCCCCAGUCGGGCCUUCGGUGUCGUCGUCUUUCUAUUCAAGCGAUGCAAUCACAGUAACUUUUCAGCCAUAUCUCUUUCACACCUUCUCAUCUAAACUCCUUUCGGUCAAGAAUCAUGUCUCCUGAGGGCUUGAGAUGGGAAUGAAAUGUCCUUGAAGGAAAAAGAGCAGAAUAUGGAAACAUACAACUUUAAAACAUGUCUAAAGACCUAAUGAGAGACUCGUCUCGUCGCUGAACUACCAAAAGUCCGGUCCAGACGGCACUGCGAAAUGACCUCCAGGGGGACUUCCCGGCCGCGAUACCGUCAGGUCAGAGGUCAGCUUUGCUUGAUCUUCAUUCCUGAUUGGAGCUCCCACUUUGUGUUCCAAUGAUCACAAAGCACCGGUCUCAUCCCACCUCCUUUUACAGCCUGAUCUGACAGUUCUGUGUGUGUGUGUGUGUGUGUGUGUGUGUGGGUGGGUGUGUGUGUGUGUGUGUGUGUGCAAGAGCAACGAGCCUUUGAGUCCAUAGAUUGAGCGCGCACCCUGGGAAUAUAUUACCGUCUCUUCCCCUACAUAAGGCGGGGUUGUUUUUAUUAUUACUAUUCAUAAUUCUGGUGAUAUUGACACAGUGAUAAGCUGAAUUGAGUUUAUGAGGCUUCUCCUCUGAGAGGAAUACCAGACCACACUUUGAGUUGAGUCAGCAGACUAGCGUUAAAACUAAUCACAAUUUAAUGGAUCUCCAACUCCCAAGGUUGCAGAGAUGUGAAUAAAGCAUAGCCCGGGGCGCUCUCGGAUAACCCCGUACUCUCCAUCGCCAGACCACUGAAAAUCAGGGUUGGAUUUGCUUGAAAUGGUGAUGUGCUCGCCACAUACAUUAUUCAAAUGAAUAGUUUUUCAGCAGACAUCCGGCGAUAUGUGCAAGCUAUUCUAUUUGUCUCUCAGUACUUUCUGAGAUCUGUGAAGAAACGGAAUCGUAAGAGCAUUCCUAAUAGCUUUAAAAUGCCUUUUACCGGACGCACUGGGGACCAGGGGACGGGGCAUUACAUGCGUGCAGGAAUAGUGCAGCAAGUAGUGACGGGAAGGAAACAGGAAAUCGGUGAGGUGGUUUGGUUUGCGGAGGUAUGAAGAUUCUGCCCACUGUUUCAGCCAAUUUCAGGGAAAAAAACAUUUUUGACGACGUCUGGACAAAAUGGUCCUAGUACUCCAAAAUAGAAAUACUGGACUUUGAAAAUAAUUGGGAGCCUUCUGAGGUAAAACCACGCUGCUAGAUGUACGAUAGUUAAGACGCUGAGUGUCAGCAAUUGUCAACAUCUCUGAGAGCCCGACUGUGUCCCGCAGUCUAUCGAAGCUGGUAAAGUGCAUGGUUUCGUGAUUAAGUGUAGAAUCAAACAGUUAAACUGUAUAACGUGUCGUGUGCUUAACAGCCGCUCUGUUAAGACUCAAAGGUCACUUCAAUUUUAGGGAAUUUAAAAUUUACAGCAAACGCGUUCAAAUGGCCGAGAUCGGGAGCAAGCGAAGAAGGAUUAACGCAAGUAAUGCAGUUUUCAAAUUAGAUGUCAACAAAGCAUGUAUACAAAUUGCAUGGGAAAAGAUUGUCCUAAAUUUGCCAUAGAAAAAUUAACUACCUAUACAGAAAAUCAAAUAUUUUUCCUCUACCAAUUGAGAAUUCCAAAGUCCUGAUAGGGAGAAUAAAGUCAUUGCUGAGAAUUCAAAGUAUUCAAAAGCUCUUUAAUCAAUAAUUCCUGACAAUAACUCAUGUAUGUGUGCUCAGGACUCCACUGAUACUAAAAAUAUAUCAUUUCUACUGUAGUAAUUAAGAGAAUGUCUUACACAAUAUCUCAAUAUUUGAGGUACCAUGAAGUGUUAAAUAAGUGAAUAAUAAACCAAUUCCAGACAAUGAGCGAUGUACACGUUGUCAGGGUGGGUGGAAGGCAGGACUCAAACGCAGACGUCAAAAGCAAAAAGACUAAUAGUCAUAAACUCCAACACAAAAUGGCCAAGGGCCAAAAACGCAUACAGGUAAUAGGGGGAAAAACUAGAGACAUCCAGGACGAUAGACAAUGUGACACAAGAGACGCUUAAAUACACUAGGGUUAGGGUUAGGGUAUUGGACACAGGUUGAAACGAUCAGACAAUCACAGGGGUUGACAGGACCAGGCAGGAAGUGAAGUUACCCGGGGAGACGAGUGGCAGAAAACUACAAAAUAAGACAGGACGUGAACCACACCAUGACACACGUGUUCCCUUUCUGACUACUCUUAAAACAAAGAUGAGGUUUUUUUAAAGAAAUUCACAUUUCACCUUUUAAAAAGCAAAUAUCACAAUAUUUGAGCUCCUAUGAAACAAGUUUUCUCAAUAAUUCCAGACAAUGACAGAUGUACACGCGUUUCCUCGGCAUAUUGUGAAAAUUAGACAUUGCUGUACCACCAGAGAUCUUCCAAAGUAAAAGUCCUACAUCUCUACAGAGACCAGUCAUUUGUGAAUAUUUGAAAAGUCAGAAGUAUUUGCUGUAAUUUUCAGACAAUGACUAUAUUUGUUCAGGACGCAGCUCGGGUGUCCUGUGACGAUGCGGUUAAUGAAUGCGGUACAAAUGAAGCCUUGUGAGGAUUUACAGGUUUAUGGCACGUCCCGAUCGGCUUUAUGUUUAAGAACCACAUGUUGGCGGUGUCCCAUCAAUCCAUGCUGAUGGAACAAGGGUCCAACUGAGAACAAAGUACACUAAAUAUAUUCAAUAACAAAUUCAAAUAGAUCUUUAUGUUCAAUCAAGUGUUCUUGCAGGUAUAGAACCUCGUUUGGAAAAUAUUACAAUGACCGUCGAUCUGCUCACAUGUACUUACAUUAAAACAGUUAGUUUAAUGCACAACGAUAGCGCGUACAAUAAGAAUCAGAUCAGAAUCACAUACAGGAAUGUGUUUGCUGCAGUUUUACAAGACAAUACAAUUAGAUAAUUAUACAAUCCAAAAAUGUAUAUAAACAGAAAAGUACAUUGAAAAGAUGUAUACAUUAGUCUAUUGUGUAAAUGUCUGGUCAGAGGGGGACUUGUUUUAUGAGUGUAACUGAUGAGGGGAAGAACCUUUUUCUUUCGUGGGAGGCCUUGGUCACCCUUUGCAGAGCGGAUGGGACCCUGCAGCCGGCCCUUCUCCUUGGCAGAGGCUGCAGGGUACCAGACAGUGAUGGGGACCAGAGGACCGGAUCAAUGGUGGCCGUGUAGAAGGGCACCAUCACCGUCUUUGGCAAGCGUGCAUACUAGGAAUAUAGACAAGCCAACAAUUUGGUUAAGUAAAAAGACGUUAAAGUUGAAUUAAAACAUUAACUUAUGUUGUGAAUCUAAACUCUGCCCCCAAAACAAACAUGACGUUACCGGUGAACCAACAUGAGUCUCCGACAGAAGAUUAAACAUUAUGAACACUGAAGCCUAGUUAUAGCUCAUGUAUAAUAAUGUAAUACCAGCGGGUCAUUUCACAGACUUGGCGAGAACGGGCUGCUCUCUGCAGGGUGAAUCGAGCCCCCCCACCACCCACCCCGGGGCCGGACAGGUCUGAUGGUCCCGUUAACUAAACCUCACGUCUCCGACAUCUUUGGAGGUAAAUGUUGAGGCUUUUUUCAGUUUUGACAGACCACAGAAUUGUUGCUUAAACAACUUUCCUCUCGCCUGAAAGUCCUAAUAUUACAUUCCGUGACUUAAUACUUGUAUUUAUGAAAAUCGACAUGAGUUGCCCGUCGUUGGGCUGAAAUGCCUUCUGGAACAUUUGGCUCUCACAGGAACGGAAUGGCCUGCUCUGAUGCCUUCUAGGUCGAAUGGGCGGGGUGAGUCACAUACGGCCGUUUGGACGGUUCUCUGCGAGAUUAAGAAGCCAAGUGUUCCCAUCCCUCUGCAGCGUCAGGCUUUCCUUCGCGUGGACCUGGAACAGCUCUGAUCACGUUUUUUUUGUAGUUCAUUGUACAGAAGGAAUAGACUAAAUUAAAAUUUCCAGAGAUCCUCUGGGCCUCAGAAUCCAACAACGUGAAAGAUUCCAGCAUUGAGUUAUUUGUAGAAUAUAAAGAGUCAGAGCCAUGUUUCUCUCACGAGGUCAAGCUCCGCCUCAAGAAAAAUACAUUAAGAUUGCCAUGGUUACCGUGACGAGGUCUGGAGUCAAAAUAUCUGCUGGUUCAGACGACUGCUGUUCUAUCCUGCUCUUUUGGCUGGUCCUGUUGCUUUGUUCCAUCUUUAAGUGAUUUUUAUAGAGCUCCCGCAGCAGGAAAAUUUAGAGUUGCCCCCCCACCCGCCAAUCUUUGAAUAAUUUAGGUGCCUUGGCUCAGGGCUGUCACGUAGAUGACCACCUGCUCCGAUAUUGCGUGUGCAGUAGGACCAUUCUUCAUGUACCUUCCCUUGUCUGCCCAUAGAGUCCAUUGACACCAGCAUCAGAUGAUUAAUUAAGAACCACUUGCUUCGGCGAAGGACGUUUCAGUGAGUGUUUUGCAAGCUGUUCAGUAGCAGUCACAUAGACAUCUCAGAACAUACAGCGCGUUGGGACGGAUUUGGGGUAUUUUGGAUUAGAUGUGAUGACAAAAGACUUUCCACUUCAUUUUGUACCUUUUAACCACCCACCUUCCAGAAUGGAACGAUUGCAUGUGCACGAAAGGAAAUUACAGCAAAGGCUGAAACGGUGCAGGAGCUGCGUGAGUAAAAGUCAAAGCCAGGAACAACAACAUUAGUUUUCUUAACUGAGUGUGUUAUAUUAAAAUCACAGUAUGAUUUUUUGAAUUUUAAAUGGUCGUUGUCAGUGUCACUCUGAACAGGAUUACAAUGAAAACAUUUAUGUAUGUUUUAGCAGUAUAAAUUUGUUACUGUAAUUUGAGUUUACCUUCCCCAUACUAUGAUGUUAAUAACAUGAUCCUCUACAACAGCAGGGACAUCUAACAAGGCAUAUUCAAAUAUGCCAUGUAAUUAUUGCUGAAAUGCUACUGAUGCACUAUCAUCAUCACGAUCAUGAAAGUGCACAUGGUAUUUCACUUUAAAAUAAAUGUAAUGUUGAAAUAAGUGCAGACUGUGUGCACCGUGAGGGUCAGCUGAUGAACCCACAACACAGAAAUGAUAGCUUUCAUUUGGAGAUUGUCAGCAACAAAGUGGUCUGCAGCUAUAGCGAUGUGGGUAAAGAGGGAUUCACUGGAGACCUUCAGGACAUCAUGAAGAUCCCACAAUGACCAUUUAAAUCAUUGGUGCAGAGUAGACUAGAGAAUAAAGACCACAUGGAAAUAGCCACAGUAAAUACAUCUUUGAGAACUUUGGGCAGCUUUUCUUGUCCACGGAAGGUUCUGUGUAUAACAGUGACCCAAUAAAGUAGAGGGUGCGCCAGGAACCUCAAGGUUGGCGGUUCGACCCCUGGCUGCUCCAUGUCAAAGUGUCCCUGAGCAAGACACCCAACCCCUAACUGCUCGCCGGGCAAAAAUGUAAAAACUAUAAGUUAAAAAUGCAAUGCAAGCCGCUUUGGAUAAAAGCGUCAGCUAAAUGGCAUCUAAUGUAAAGCCAUCUCACAAAACUAAGUUCAAAGCUAUUCUAAAUCUACCACCUUGGUCUGUUCACAAAGAGUUUGCCCUGAGGUGCAUUUUUUAAAGGAAAAUGUAUACCAAUAUGCUUUUUCCCUAAUGGGACGUCUCUCUGCGCUCCAAUGUUGUGCUCUGUGAGAGUGUUUUCAGCACUGUAAGUGCUCCAUAACGCUUGACUAAAAUGGAAAAGGUAAAGCGCUAUUAUAAUGGAAAUAUUAGUACUCCACAGUUUGUCAUUAAAUUGAUGUUUUUGUUCACCUUCAACUUGUUCCAACCUUUUUCUGCCGCUGCUUGAGCAAGGGAGAAAUCUAUACGCUGAAGUGCACUUCUGAAAUAUCUCGUGUAGAGAGACCUUCAGAUGAAAAAGGUUUAUAUUCAUUAUAGUUGUGCUGCAUUGAUAUUUUGAAGCCAUUGGUUUUUCUAACCCAUUGCAGUUGUCGUGCACGGUUUAGGAACAUUUUCGGGUAUUAGAUAGUGUAAAAGUAAAUCAUUGGCGGAUAGAAUAAUCAAUAAGAUAAUUUCCGAAUGAAUGAAUAAAUCACAGGGCACCAGCCUGAAACCAGGACUCUGGAGGCUGCAGCUUGUUUUAAACUAAGAUCGGUUUCUUCAUGUUGUACCUAGACUUCAGUGCAAUUACGUUAAGUCUAUAUAGUUAUUCCAAUCCAUCACUUCCACUUCGUAGAAGUAACUUCUCGUGGUAAAUUGGCCUUCGGGCCAAAGGAGCAUCGGGAAGCGACUGACGAGCACCUCCUUCAUUAAGGCCAGCUGCGGGCUUUACCGGGCCACGGUACCUACCAAUGUUACUCCCCCGUCCCUCUCCGGGGAGAGUCCAGCGCGUACCACUUGCAUGGGCUCGGUCUCUCGAGGAGGCACGAGAGCUGCAGGAUCGGGCGGGCGUUGGAUGAGUGAGCCAAGGAGGGGGGUUUGGGUUGGGAAGGUUCCAGCGCUUAGCGGAUGAGACGAUCUAAUCAAGUGGUCACCUCGAUGAACCGCUCUAGAAGGAGGUAACGCAGAUAAGGGUAGUUGCGCAUUAGACAAGGAAAAUCUAAAUCUUUGUACCAGACCUGAGACACAAGAGGCAAACAGCCUUGGAUCUACUCCCCUAGAGAUCCACGCAGUGGAAGGCCGAGCCGUCAGGGGAGCAAGCAGAUGGGAAGCCGAGGAAACGGGCUGAUCUCGUGGUAGCGGACGAGAGGCUGAGACGGUCAGCGGGGAACGGGGCAGGUUAGGUGGGAGUGAUUGUUCUGAUGAGGUGGGUGUGAGCUAAUUAGUUGAGUGACAGGGGGAUUUGAAUUGCUAAAGAUUUUUGACUGAGAUCCAGAAGCCCUCAUUUUUCUUAUCAUUAGUACAGCUUCGAUUGGCGGCAGUCAGUCCAAUUUGACAGAUCUGCUGCUUUGUGGCAGAGACCAGGAAGAGGUCAUUGUUCUGGUUGGCGUGUGGUAGAAUGGGUGAAAGGUGCCCAGCAGCUUCCGUAGUAGUUUGUGUUGCUUUUACCGUUUUAAUGUCUUUUCGGCCGUGUAUGUUUCUGCAUUUUGUAAAUAAACGUUCAGAUGAGACUUUUAUUUUGCAUCUCAAUCUCAUUACGUGCAAAUCUGCUUCCCUUUUGCUUAAUUCCUAACAUCUUCUGACUGAUGGUUCUUGGUGGAAUGAGACUUUGCCGCGGGACAAAACAAAGUCGAGCUUCCAAAGAAAUCAAAAAGAUGCAGGUGCCCAUGUCGGGAGGGGUCAUUAGGAUUGAUUCAGAAAUCCAAGUCUAUUGUGGUAUAUGAUGUGCACUGAAGCCACAUGAAAGGCCGUCCAGUCACACAACGUCAAGUCAGCGGCCGCUUCUUACUAAACUAAUCAAUACACGUCAAGUUAAAAAAAUGUUUGGUGGCAUUUUCCUGGUGCCAUUUAGUCAUUCCUCUGCAGUCAACAGUCCCUAGGACAAAAUAAAUAGAGCCAUUCCGAGUAAUGAGUGCCACAGUGUGUAGGUCAAAAGCUCUUUAUAGUAUUAAAUUAGACUAAGUGCAAAGUCACGGGUAUUGAGUUUGCUGAAGGGUGAAAUUUGCACACAUCAUGACGCCGUGGAAGUUAGUACAGCAAUGAUGUAAUUGGACUUGAUGGUUGAGCCCAUAACCCCUUUUUCAGUGAGCACGGGGGGAAUGAGAACAAUUUACAGAGUAAAUGUUCCAAAUGUCUCCACUACCCCGAAUCCCAAAUCUAUGCUUUAAUUUACGACGCUCUGGGUACCCCUCUAACAACAGUUUCCACUCUGUUACAUCCAUGUCUUUUUAACAUAAAUGUCCUGUAUCACAAAGGAUGUAUAGGUUCCAGUGGUGUGAAGCAGCAGAAUCGUAAAAGCAUUCCAAUAAGCGUGUGUGGGAUCUGGGGACCAGGAGCACAAUAGUGGAGAAAGCAGUGACGGGCAGAAAGGGGGGGGGGAUUCAUGCAGCCAAUGCCUGAGCUUAUUGUAUUGAUGUCAAACGAAGGAACCCGAUUGAUCGAUUUUCAAAAAGUCGACGGACCUCUUGUGGAAAACUACAGCUACGUCUCUAUUCAAUUGAAUAUUAUUUGAUUUAAUUUGACUUGAGUUUUGGGGCCUAUUUUGCUGACGGACCUCAAUCUGGGGCCUUUCUAAUUUUUAGGAUUAAGUGGUCCGGUUCAGCAACACGUUGCGGUUUGGGUUUAAAGAAGUCAUGUCUCAUUUCGCCGGCUGCAGAGGACAAAGCCUUGCUGGUCUACGUGGGCCCUUAACAGCCCAUAGGCCGAACCGAGAGGUGGCCGAAGUGAGACGGUCUGGCCCGGUGGGGGAGGAUGUCUCGGUUACGUAAAAUGCAUAUUCAUAUUGAAUCAAAUAGGUUUACAUCAAAGUUAGUCAAUGAGAUGAACAGACCUAUGGUCAGUUGAAUUCUGCCUGACUUUAACUAAAGCCCUGGUUCAGUUUGCCCAAAUGUUGGGAUACAAGGGAGGCCAGUAGGCAAGCUGUAACAGUUUUUUAUUUGCAAAAUAUCUCCCUCUCUGUAAUUUUGAUGCUUGAAUGAACUGUAUUCAGAACGGUUACCUCCGUCUGCACUUUAGGGAUUUUUGCUCCCACCACUUUUGUUUCAAGGCAGUGGCAGAGAGCGAAGUGAAACAAGUGCACAUAAAUAGGGGGAUUAAGACUAAUGCACGCUGUGUCUUUUGUUUGCUGCUGCUUGUUUUGUUAGCUCAGCAGAGGGCGGGACUCAGGGACGCAUGAAGCACGUUAGCGGAGUUGAUGAAAAGCUUCUUUAGUGGAAAUACAGCUGACGUUAAACAAAGAACCGGUUCAGGGUUCUACAGCUCAGUACAGCGACACCGCUCAGUAAUUGUAUUUAACUGUCCCAGGUCGCAGCACGUUUACUGAGUUUAGAGAGUGAGGUGAAUAUGAGCUGUUUCCACACACACACACACACACACACACACACACACACACACAACCUCUGGCUCUGCUGUGUAGUUCUCUUCUAGGAAGCAACUUCCCACACAGUAAGUGGCAAAGAGCGGCUGCGCUGGUCACAUUACUAAAGACAUGAAGAGCGGAGAGAGUUGAGCCCUCGUUGCGGUAACCUUGUCCUCGCCUGUCGUCUGUAAACGUCACCGUGUGUUCGUUUCACCCCGGCGCUGGGAAGCUGGAGGUUAAUUCAGACCUUCAGUGACUCCGUAUCUCCGGUGCACAUCACAGCAAACUUUCCCCCCCCGCUUGGUCGCUCAGUUGGACUCUGAUAACUUUAGUAUCUGGCAGUAAUUGGUCUUAUGGCUGAUUCAUAUCUGUUGCGUGGCAGGUCCUACAGGAGAGUUCCAUUGAUAUCAUGGGAGCAGUAUGAAAAAUAAUGUCGUUCAGUCCGUUCAGUGUCGAGAACAACUUUAAUGAAGAGACACAUUAAGUCCUUGUUGGAGUAUUACUAUUAUGAUUGGGUGUUCGUUUGAGGAAACUUUAAAUGAACCGCAGGGGAAGACGGCCGAAUAUCCAAUAUAUACCACCUAUAAUCCUAAUAUGGAGCUCAAGUCUUUUAGAAACGUAAUAAGAUUAAAGACUAUUCAGUCACAUCGGAGCCGAGGUGGCCUCUGAGCACCAGCCUGCGUCUCCACGCCAUCAGGGCCGAUUCCCAAAGCGCCACUGAAGCCGGAAUUCAUCCGGCAGCUCCCAUCAGCCGCUCGAGUUACUCACAGCAGUCGGCCGAUCCAGAUGGAAUCAAAUUCAUUUUGCAUUUUUUUUUCUUCACCUACACACUCGAUUCAGCUGUGUGGCAGAAGCAUUACUUUGCGAGCCAAACAAUGUUCCCCGUAUGUUUCAGAUGUCAUUGGUCUUUCUUUCAAAAGAGCAUAAAUUAGCGACUCAAGUCCAGAGGGACAGCAGCGUCGUCACUGGGCUUAAUGGCAGCGAUAAACAAGCCUGUCUGCUGAUCACCUCAUUGUCCCCUCGCCGGUCAACGGAAUGCCGCUCACUUUACCAAACGGUUGAACUACCCAGCUGCUUUUUAUUCUUACUUUUUCCCGGUGGGUGUUGGCUGAUGGCGAGCGGAGCAGCCAGUCGGAGUGAUGAAUCUCCCACUUCAUCAUGUGUAAUGGGGGAGACAGGGGGAGUAAACAGGGGCUGAGGUAGAGGUAGCGCUCACAGAGAACAACACCAGGGGCCAAGGUUGAAUUCAAUACCGUUUAUUCAAGUUUAUAUGAGGCGGAAAUGUUGUGUGAAGGUACCGGGCAGGAGUCAUUGACUCUUUAGCUGUUGGGUUUCAAUCACAGACGGGACUGUGGGAGCGAUGCAGUAACUCAACCAAAUAUGGUUAAAGUGCCACAAACACGGUGAUGCUGAGAGUCCUUAAGGGAUAUUUGGUGCUUGUAACAAUGGAUCAGAUGUUUAUUGUGAAAAGCUCUUAGAGAAAGAAUCCCAGAGGACAACAUCAUUCCUCCAUCACUCCACCACUCCAUCACUCCAUCACUCCAUCACUCCAUCACUCUAUCACUCCAUCACUCCAUCACUCCAUCACUCCAUCACACCAUCACUCUAUCACUCCAUUCCUACCAGCACUCCACCACUCCAUCACUCUAUCACUCCACCACUCCAUCACUCCACCACCCUACCACACCAUUCCUCCAUCACUCCACCUCUCCAUCACUCCAUCACCCUACCACACCAUCCCUCCAUCACUCCACCACUCCAUCACCCUACCACACCAUCCCUCCAUCACUCCACCACUCCAUCAC
Gasterosteus aculeatus aculeatus (three-spined stickleback) is the source of this 11477-nucleotide long non-coding RNA. The record is from Ensembl. NCBI's taxonomy places the organism in Eukaryota, Metazoa, Chordata, Actinopteri, Perciformes, Gasterosteidae.